GGCUCUGUUGCGCAAUGGAUAGCGCGUUGGACUUCAAAGUGCCUGUCUAGUAAACAGGAGAUCCUGGGUUCAAAUCCCAGCAGUGCCU
Ameiurus melas (black bullhead) is the source of this 88-nucleotide non-coding RNA. The record is from the annotation of a GenBank genome assembly. NCBI's taxonomy places the organism in Eukaryota, Metazoa, Chordata, Actinopteri, Siluriformes, Ictaluridae.